UAGGGAAUCUUCCACAAUGGACGCAAGUCUGAUGGAGCAACGCCGCGUGAGUGAAGAAGGGUUUCGGCUCGUAAAGCUCUGUUGUUAAAGAAGAACGUGGGUAAGAGUAACUGUUUACCCAGUGACGGUAUUUAACCAGAAAGCCACGGCUAACUACGUCGCCA
Molecule: ribosomal RNA, 164 nt
Filed under: uncultured bacterium
Lineage: Bacteria
Description: partial 16S rRNA
Rfam family: Bacterial small subunit ribosomal RNA
Source: RNAcentral